This 434-nucleotide ribosomal RNA is filed under the name uncultured bacterium. Its description in RNAcentral is "bacterial SSU rRNA". It matches the Rfam family "Bacterial small subunit ribosomal RNA", at positions 355 to 786 of the family's 1533-position model. The record is from RNAcentral.
UGAGGAAUAUUGGUCAAUGGGCGGGAGCCUGAACCAGCCAAGCCGCGUGAGGGAAGAAGGCCCUAUGGGUCGUAAACCUCUUUUGUCAGGGAACAAAAGCGAGUAUGUAUACUGGUCUGAGUGUACCUGAAGAAAAACGCAUCGGCUAACUCCGUGCCAGCAGCCGCGGUAAUACGGAGGAUGCGAGCGUUAUCCGGAUUUAUUGGGUUUAAAGGGUGCGUAGGCGGCGGUGCAAGUCAGCGGUAAAAGCCCGGGGCUCAACCCCGGCGAGCCGUUGAAACUGCAGCGCUAGAGAAGGCGAGAGGUACGCGGAAUGCGCAGUGUAGCGGUGAAAUGCUUAGAUAUUGCGCAGAACUCCGAUUGCGAAGGCAGCGUACUGGCGCCUGACUGACGCUGAGGCACGAAAGCGUGGGGAUCGAACAGGAUUAGAUACC